GGGGAUUUAGCUCAGUGGUAGAGCGCUUGCCUAGCAAGCAUAAGGCCCUGAGUUCAGUCCCCA
RNAcentral lists this transfer RNA (63 nucleotides) under Rattus norvegicus (Norway rat). It matches the Rfam family "tRNA". From Rfam's summary of the family: Transfer RNA (tRNA) molecules are approximately 80 nucleotides in length. Their secondary structure includes four short double-helical elements and three loops (D, anti-codon, and T loops). The record is from Rfam by way of RNAcentral. Lineage: Eukaryota; Metazoa; Chordata; Mammalia; Rodentia; Muridae.